AUGUUCUUGGUGAAUCUCUUCAGUUGCUUCUUCACUUGAGAGAUUGUCAACAACAGGUUGGUAAAGGUUCUCAACUAUUCCCUUUUCUGUAUUGAUCUGCUUUUGAAUUGUCUCACUUGCAUCAGUCUUUUCAAUUUCCUCACAUAACGCUUCAUUUUGUGUUGUCUUUGUCAAUACCUCAUCUCCUUUACUUUCUUUACCCUUGAUCUCAUGUUCUUGGUGAAUCUCUUCAGUUGCUUCUUCACUUGAGAGAUUGUCAACAACAGGUUGGUAAAGGUUCUCAACUAUUCCCUUUUCUGUAUUGAUCUGCUUUUGAAUUGUCUCACUUGCAUCAGU
Molecule: unclassified non-coding RNA, 336 nt
Filed under: Hevea brasiliensis (rubber tree)
Lineage: Eukaryota; Viridiplantae; Streptophyta; Magnoliopsida; Malpighiales; Euphorbiaceae
Source: RNAcentral